This 117-nucleotide small nucleolar RNA is filed under the name Hanseniaspora osmophila. RNAcentral describes it as "Small nucleolar RNA snR65". It matches the Rfam family "Small nucleolar RNA snR65". The record is from Rfam by way of RNAcentral. Lineage: Eukaryota; Fungi; Ascomycota; Saccharomycetes; Saccharomycodales; Saccharomycodaceae.
AUAUAUGAUGAGUAUUCGAACACAUUUUCAAAGCUAGAUAGUAUCUGAAAACGUUUGGGUUAAUAUCCCGAGUGUUUAUGAUUUCAGUGUAUUUGAACGUUAAUAACAUCUCUGAUU